This 65-nucleotide transfer RNA is filed under the name Dipodomys ordii (Ord's kangaroo rat). It matches the Rfam family "tRNA". Rfam says of the family: Transfer RNA (tRNA) molecules are approximately 80 nucleotides in length. Their secondary structure includes four short double-helical elements and three loops (D, anti-codon, and T loops). Lineage: Eukaryota; Metazoa; Chordata; Mammalia; Rodentia; Heteromyidae. The record is from Rfam by way of RNAcentral.
GGUGGCUCAGUGGUAGAGUGCUUGCCUCCCAAGCUUGAAGCCCUGGGUUCAAUUCCUCAGCACCA